Molecule: long non-coding RNA, 2595 nt
Organism: Capsicum annuum
Lineage: Eukaryota; Viridiplantae; Streptophyta; Magnoliopsida; Solanales; Solanaceae
Exons: 4
Source: RefSeq, a predicted model, not a curated record
UUGCAAUAGAUAAUUAUUAAUUCACUCCGUAAUUUUUCACACGUGGUCCGCCAAUUUUUUUUCACUUUAUUAAAAAAGGUUUUAUCUUUCUCAAUAGAACAAAAGGUUAAGCUAAAAGCCCUAUUUCUCUUGCUGUUUCAAACAAACAAGCUCUUCGCAGCUCGUAAUAAAGUUCCAUUUCUCUUGGGAUUUCAGACAAACAAGCUCCGAAUGCGAUUGUGAAAUUUUCUCAAACAACAAGCUUUCAAAUCUCAUAGACUAGUGAAAUUUCGAGCUCUUAGUGAAAUUAAGCUUAUGGUAAACAACAAUCUUCCCAGAACAGUAAUCUGUUUGUGAAAUUUUAACUUCUUAGUGAAAUUUCAACCUCUUAGUGAAAUUUCCAUCCAUUUAGAUGUCUCGUGGGGUUAGUUCAGAUGCCGUUUUAUGCUAUUUUUGUAGCUUUAUGGAGAAAAUGAGUAAACUGUGAGUACUGCAGUGAACGAGAUUCUGGUGUAACUCUAUGUGACCACUUGAAUUCAGAAAAUUUCUGGAAUUGGAGAAUUCAAGACCUCAUGAAUUCUGGAGUAAUUCCCGUGCACGCUCACACAAGCUUGGAGAGGAUGCGGAUCUCACUCUUGAUGAUUGUUGCCUUUUCCUUUGGUGCUUCUGUUGGUCUAUUUAUUGAAUAUCUCUUUGAAAUCGAUCAAGUGCAACACACGGAAGUUUCUAAACAUUGUUUUAUAUGGUUGCUUUUACUGCUUUCUUGUCAUAUUAUAUGACAGGGCUAUAUUCAGCAAAUCAAUCGCCCAUUUAUUGAUAGUAACAAUCAAGGUCUGUCUUCUUUUCUUCUUCUUCUCGUCCUUUUUGUCUUCUUCUUUUUUUAUUGGCAGCAGUAGAUAUAAAAACUUGUUGUUGUUUGGGUAAGUGGUAGCCAGUAAGGAAAGUGUUUUUCUUGACAUGUUUAUUCCAAGAGGGCUGCAUCCCCUAUGAUAUCCAGUAAACACUUCACUGCAAUGUGUGAACCUCUUGUAACAACGUGGUAGGAGGUACUUUCUAAUUCUCACUGUAAUUUUAUCUUUUGUGCUAGUAAUAGAUUUUCAUUUUCAACUCUUUCCCUUUGUUAUGUUUAAGAUAUACAUGGUUUGAUCUAGAAUGCAUUUAAUGUGGAGUUAUAUUAAGUACUUUAUGUUCUGGAUGAUAGUUUACAGAAGAUCUUCAUUACAUAUUGGAAAUGAGUAAUAAUUCCGUUGUUCAGAAAUUCCAAGAGUAUGGCUAGACAUUUCCUUUUAAAAGAUGUGUUAUGGAUACUCAAUUUAAGAUCAACUUAUAGUUUCCAUCUUAAUGUUACAGUUUUUGUGAGAAUAUAAUUAAAUCUCCGGCUGCAAUGCCAUAUAAAGAGAUUUAUAGCAGAGAUCCAUAUGAUUACUAGCUUCUUUUGCUUGACUUUUCAUUUUCACUUUUGGCUGUUUGUCUAUAAAUUUGAAAUAUGUUUCAUGAAGGUCAUUCUCUUUUCCUGAAUUUAUUGAUGAAGUUCAAGAAGUGAUUUGACCAGUUCUUGAAGCUUACUUCAAAGUAAGUAUGCACAAGCUUACUAAAGUUUAUGGAUAGAUUUACAAUAUUCUUAAUAUGGGGUAAAAAUGGGAGAAGUAGAAGGAAGGUAGCUGGGCUACAAGUCGGGUCCAUGUUCAGCCGAAUCCAGUAGUCUUGGCUCAAACGCCGUAUUUUUCUUAGGAAAUUAAUCUGAUAUUCGAAAUUAUUAUUUUAGAAUCCAUUGACUUGGAAUAGUUAGAAUUUCGAAUACAUAAACUUCAAAUCCUAGCUCUGCUUCUGACUAGGAAGGGCAUGGAAUAACAUUUUUCUGGUUCAAUAUUAUAGUGGUUGAGUAGUAUAUUGUUUUAAAGUGGUUGAGUAGUCUGGUUCAAUAAAGAGUUGUAGUUGAGUAGUAUGCUGUUUUAAAGUGGUUGAGUAGUCUGGUUCAAUAGAGUUGUAGGUAUGUUACAUGUAUAUGUUGUUAAAGUUUUAAGCUUGGAACAGGUAAAUGUGAGAUGGCAUCCAGAGGAAGCUUCUAGGCCUGAUAUUGGGGACGCUCCGAUGUUCUAUCAAGCUAAAGAGGAAUUUGGAGAUACGCUGACAUAAAUGGAUAGCAUACACACCAAAUCAGAGGCUUAUGGAAUUUGUCGCAUAGUACCUCCUGCUUCGUGGAAACCUCCAUUCCCUCUUAAGGAAAAAACUAUAUGAGAGAACUCCAAAUUUGCUACCCGUGUUCAGAGGAUUGACAAACUUCAGAAUCGAGAUUCGAUGAGAAGGAUGUGGGAAGCUAAUGCUCCUAAGAAAAAGAAAAGAAGAAGAUGCUUAAAAACUGGAGUAGACCUGGGUAAUUGAUAAUGUUGCCAGUAAACACCUGGUGAAGCUGAGAGGUUUGGAUUUGGACCUGGUCCAGAGUUCACUCUGGAUACAUUUCAGAAAUAUGCUGAUGAUUUCGUACUUACUGCUAUAUAGAAACUUAACAAAUCGUUUGGACUUGAUUAACAUUUUACUUUCGGAUUUAAAUUACUAGCUUGUUGCAUAUUUUGGAUUAUGAGAUUAUUAAUGAAUGAUUUUGUUUUGUGAUGUGUA